UUAACUAUGAAUCCACGAAGACAAAAAAAUCUUUAAAUCUGGGGCGAUGGCGAGAAGUUCGCACCACCGGCGAUUUCUCCGGACAGCGAGGCACGUUGGUACGUAGUACCCCUCCCCCCAAUAGAGCAAAACAAGGAAGCAAUACAAAGGAAGUAAUGGAAACAGAAUGUAGAAGAAAUAUGAACAUUAAGUAAAUCGACUACAUAGGCCCAAUUUGUUACUCCUGAAUAAUAAGCAAACAUUCAAUCAACCAUAGGCCAGCAGAGUGCAGGCUACAUGAUUAUAUGCUAGAACACGACCAAAUCAUAGGUCCGUUGAUAGCUGUGAUGCUAUGUAGG
Molecule: long non-coding RNA, 338 nt
Filed under: Hordeum vulgare
Lineage: Eukaryota; Viridiplantae; Streptophyta; Magnoliopsida; Poales; Poaceae
Description: long non-coding RNA (HVUL_LNC001748)
Source: RNAcentral